This 497-nucleotide ribosomal RNA is filed under the name uncultured bacterium. Its description in RNAcentral is "partial 16S ribosomal RNA". It matches the Rfam family "Bacterial small subunit ribosomal RNA", at positions 28 to 507 of the family's 1533-position model. The record is from RNAcentral.
GAUGAACGCUGGCGGCGUGCCUAAUACAUGCAAGUCGAGCGGACGGACGAGAAGCUUGCUUCUCUGAUGUUAGCGGCGGACGGGUGAGUAACACGUGGAUAACCUACCUAUAUGACUGGGAUAACUUCGGGAAACCGUAGCUAAUACCGGAUAAUAUUUUGAACCGCAUGGUUCAAAAGUGAAAGACGGUCUUGCUGUCACUUAUAGAUGGAUCCGCGCUGCAUUAGCUAGUUGGUAAGGUAACGGCUUACCAAGGCAACGAUGCAUAGCCGACCGGAGAGGGUGAUCGGCCACACGAGAACUGAGACACGGUCCAGACUCCUACGGGAGGCAGCAGUAGGGAAUCUUCCGCAAAGGGCGAAAGCCUGACGGAGCAACGCCGCGUGAGUGAUGAAGGUCUUCGGAUCGUAAAGCUCUGUUAUUAGGGAAGAACAUAUGUGUAAGUAACUGUGCACAUCUUGACGGUACCUAAUCAGAAAGCCACGGCUAACUACGUG